Molecule: ribosomal RNA, 400 nt
Filed under: Procambarus incilis
Lineage: Eukaryota; Metazoa; Arthropoda; Malacostraca; Decapoda; Cambaridae
Description: partial large subunit ribosomal RNA
Rfam family: Bacterial large subunit ribosomal RNA (bases 79-400)
Source: RNAcentral
UUAGUUUUUUAAUUGAAGGCUAGAAUGAAUGGUUGGACAAGAAAUAAUCUGUCUUAGUUGAAUAUAUUGAAUUUAACUUUUAAGUGAAAAGGCUUAAAUAAACUGGAGGGACGAUAAGACCCUAUAAAACUUUAUAUUCAAAAAUAGUAAAUAAUUUUAUUUAAGGUGUGUUAUUUAAGAAUAUUUAGUUGGGGUGACUACGAUAAAAUGAAAAAUAACUGUCUUUUUUUUUUCACAAUGAUUUUUGGUUUAAUGAUCCUAGAAAUGGAUUAAAGAUUAAGUUACUUUAGGGAUAACAGCGUAAUUUUCUUUAAGAGUUCUUAUCGACAAGAAAGUUUGCGACCUCGAUGUUGAAUUAAAAGUUCUUUAUAGAGUAGAGACUAUAAUAGAAGGUCUGUUC